RNAcentral lists this ribosomal RNA (253 nucleotides) under uncultured bacterium. Its description in RNAcentral is "partial 16S ribosomal RNA". It matches the Rfam family "Bacterial small subunit ribosomal RNA", at positions 524 to 776 of the family's 1533-position model. The record is from RNAcentral.
UACGGGGGGUGCAAGCGUUGCUCGGAAUCACUGGGCGUAAAGCGUCCGCAGGCGGCUAGAUAAGUCGGAUGUGAAAGCCCGGGGCUCAACCCCGGAACUGCAUUCGAAACUGUCUGGCUUGAGUACGGGAGAGGGUCGUGGAAUUCCUGGUGUAGAGGUGAAAUUCGUAGAUAUCAGGAGGAACACCGGUGGCGAAAGCGGCGACCUGGCCCGAUACUGACGCUCAUGGACGAAAGCGUGGGGAGCAAACAGG